AUGAACGCUGGCGGCGUGCCUAAUACAUGCAAGUCGAGCGAACAGACGAGGAGCUUGCUCCUCUGACGUUAGCGGCGGACGGGUGAGUAACACGUGGAUAACCUACCUAUAAGACUGGGAUAACUUCGGGAAACCGGAGCUAAUACCGGAUAAUAUAUUGAACCGCAUGGUUCAAUAGUGAAAGACGGUUUUGCUGUCACUUAUAGAUGGAUCCGCGCCGCAUUAGCUAGUUGGUAAGGUAACGGCUUACCAAGGCGACGAUGCGUAGCCGACCUGAGAGGGUGAUCGGCCACACUGGAACUGAGACACGGUCCAGACUCCUACGGGAGGCAGCAGUAGGGAAUCUUCCGCGAUGGGCGAAAGGCUGACGGAGCAACGCCGCGUGAGUGAUGAAGGUCUUCGGAUCGUAAAACUCUGUUAUUAGGGAAGAACAAAUGUGUAAGUAACUAUGCACGUCUUGACGGUACCUAAUCAGAAAGCCACGGCUAACUACG
Molecule: ribosomal RNA, 494 nt
Filed under: uncultured bacterium
Lineage: Bacteria
Description: partial 16S ribosomal RNA
Rfam family: Bacterial small subunit ribosomal RNA
Source: RNAcentral